RNAcentral lists this ribosomal RNA (254 nucleotides) under uncultured bacterium. Its description in RNAcentral is "partial 16S ribosomal RNA". It matches the Rfam family "Bacterial small subunit ribosomal RNA", at positions 524 to 776 of the family's 1533-position model. The record is from RNAcentral.
UACGUAGGGUGCGAGCGUUGUCCGGAAUUAUUGGGCGUAAAGAGCUCGUAGGCGGUGUGUCACGUCGGCCGUGAAAACCUGCAGCUUAACUGUGGGCGUGCGGUCGAUACGAGCAUCACUGGAGUUCGGCAGGGGAGACUGGAAUUCCUGGUGUAGCGGUGAAAUGCGCAGAUAUCAGGAGGAACACCGGUGGCGAAGGCGGGUCUCUGGGCCGAUACUGACGCUGAGGAGCGAAAGCGUGGGGAGCAAACAGG